Long non-coding RNA from Seriola aureovittata, 630 nucleotides. RefSeq lists it as uncharacterized. NCBI's taxonomy places the organism in Eukaryota, Metazoa, Chordata, Actinopteri, Carangiformes, Carangidae. The transcript has 3 exons. The record is from RefSeq and is a predicted model, not a curated record.
GAAGACCACCAUGGCGAAGAUGGAGAUGCCGACGCCGAGGAAGAGGAGGAGGAGGCCGACUUCCUCGUAGCACUGAGCGAUGGUCAUACCCAGAGACUUGAGACCUGGACAGAGAGGAGGACAGAGGAGUAAAGCUCAAAGCUGCACGAGAAGAAACAAACCGAGGUGAAUCUCCGAUUCUUACCUGGUCUAAAUGAAGAGAGUCUUCAGCAUCUUUGUUGGAUGUGAACUCCACAUUAUCACGAAUCCUACGAAGUAAAAUCCUGAGAAAGAUGUUUGAAUCUCCUGGCAGCUGACUCGUCCUCCCGGCCCGCUGACCACUCAUCAACGACGUCCGUCUCCUGAAGCAACUACAGCAGCACCAGACUGUGAGCCGGACAUACCUGCUGCCCCGUGUCUCAUUAUUCAUCCAUACAUGUCUGAAUAAGGAGCCUUCAGCUGCUCAGGUCUGCAUACAUCAUACAUCACAGUCAGUAUGAUAAUCAGCGAUGUACAGGACACACAGACUGACCUGAAUGGAAAUCAAUGAGGUGAUAAUUUAAAGUAUAAAAGUUCCAUCUUAUCCCCAUGUAUUGAUCAAUAUUUGAAAUGUGAUUAGGUUAAAUAAAAUAACCGUCCUCUUGUAAUGUU